Molecule: ribosomal RNA, 681 nt
Filed under: Halobacillus trueperi
Lineage: Bacteria; Bacillati; Bacillota; Bacilli; Caryophanales; Bacillaceae
Description: bacterial SSU rRNA
Rfam family: Bacterial small subunit ribosomal RNA
Source: RNAcentral
GUCGAGCGCGGGAGCGAGUGGAUCCCUUCGGGGUGAACUCGUGGAACGAGCGGGGGACGGGUGAGUAUCACGUGGGCAACCUGCCUGUGAGAUCGGAAUAUCCCCGGGAAACCGGGGCUAAUGCCGGGUAAUACUUUCUUUCUCAUGAAGGAAAGUUGAAAGAUGGCUUCUUGCUAUCACUUACAGAUGGGCCCCCGGCGCACUAUCUAUUUGGUGAGGUAACGGCUCACCAAGGCGACAAUACGUAUCCCACCUGAGAGGGGGAUCGGCCACACUGGGACUGAGACACGGCCCACACUCCUACGGGAGGCAGCAGUAGGGAAUCUUCCCCAAUGGACAAAAGUCUGACAGAGCAACGCCCCGUGAACGAUAAAAGUCUUCUGAUCGUAAAGUUCUGUUGUUAGGGAAAAACAAGUACCGUGCGAAUAUAGCGGUACCUUGACGGUACCUAACGAGGAAACCCCGGCUAACUACAUGCCACCAGCCGCGGUAAUACAUAUGGGGCAAGCGUUGUCCGGAAUUAUUGUGCGUAUAGCGCGCGCACGCGGUUCCUUAUGUCUGAUGUGAAAGCCCACGGCUCACCCGUGUAGGGUCAUUGUAAACUGGGGAACUUGAGGACAGAGGAGGAGAGUGUAAUUCCACGUGUAUCGGUGAAAUGCGUAUAUAUGUGUAGGAACACCA